Long non-coding RNA from Dama dama (fallow deer), 485 nucleotides. RefSeq lists it as uncharacterized. The transcript has 3 exons. NCBI's taxonomy places the organism in Eukaryota, Metazoa, Chordata, Mammalia, Artiodactyla, Cervidae. The record is from RefSeq and is a predicted model, not a curated record.
UCGCCGUUCGGUUCCGGUUCUAACCCCGCCCUCACGCGGGAACCCUCCAGAAGUCUUAAUAUCCGGGACCAGAGGCUGGCGCCAGCGCGCACUUCCGGCGACAGACACAGAGGAAAGAACCUGGUGACGCUUCUUCCCUUCUACCAUGCCUCCCAGGCUCCGGCUCUCGGUGCGGCAGCGCCAUCUGGUGUUGAAUCUCUCGCUGCUCGCAGAGGGGGCACGCGCCUUUCUCCCGGAACCUUCCAGAGAAAAUGUGACCUAGCCUUUCGUCACUCGCCCUCGCAAAGGGAGAGACCCGAGGUUUCGCCCUGCCGAGUUCUCACGUAGGAGGGACACAGGAAGAAGAAAACCUUCUAUGAACAUAGAAGAGAGCCCUCACCAAGAACCAAACCUGCUGAUGCCUUGAUCUUGGACUUCCAGCCUCCAGAACUACACUGAUUCUUGAUUAACUGAUUUGCAUUAAGUAUGACAAGUGUGUGCAGCAC